RNAcentral lists this ribosomal RNA (1350 nucleotides) under Triticum aestivum (bread wheat). Its description in RNAcentral is "partial small subunit ribosomal RNA". The record is from RNAcentral. Lineage: Eukaryota; Viridiplantae; Streptophyta; Magnoliopsida; Poales; Poaceae.
AUAAGCUAUGUUUGGCGGAGCAUCCUUCAGGGAGUAGAGGUCAUUAAGGAGGGGAUGGUGUGGCGAGUUGGUAAUGGCGACAAUAUUAGGAUCUGGCAGGACCCAUGGCUUCCUUCUGGUGCGGUCAGGUACCCAAGAACGAGGAGGGGAAGCACCCUGCUGACUAGGGUUGCGGAGUUGAUUGAUCCAUACACUAACUCUUGGGAUACUCAGCUGGUUAGGCAAAUUUUCUGUCAGGAGGAUGCAAAUGUGAUCUUGUCGAUUCCCAUCUUUGAACAUCAUGAGGACUUCGUGGCAUGGCAGUUUGACAGGAAGGGGUUAUUCUCUGUCUGCUCAGCAUAUAGGAUUCAUGUCGACCUUCUUCGGCGCCAAUGCCAGAGGCAAACUGGUGAAUGCUCGUCAGGGCGGGAGGAGGAAAAGAAAAUGUGGCGGCACCUCUGGCAAGUGAAUUGCCCCGGGAAGGUACAUCACUUCAUGUGGAGAUUGGCACACAAUAGUCACCCUUUGCUGCGAAACGUGGAGCACAUUGGAGUUGAACUGGACACAAGUUGCGUGGUGUGCCAUCGUCUGCCGGAGGACGGAGGGCACUUGUUUCUGCGCUGCAAAGAGGUAAAGAAAAUCUGGAGUGCUUGUGGUCUGGAGGGUGUUCGUCAAAGCCUGCUUGAAUGCCAAACAUCUCGCCGGCUGCUAGAGGAGCUCUUUCGUAUACCCGAGGAUGUAAAACUAAGAGCAAUUUGCCUCAUGUGGUUGUGGUGGACAGAGAGGAACAAAGCGAAUCAUAACCAAAGCAGAGCAUCAGCGGAGGAGUUUCAGUCUUCUGUUACCAGACAUGUCACUGAAUGGCGGGAAUACAAUGCAAAACCUGUACAGCCAAGAGUGCAGAGGAUUCAGAAAUGGGUCAAGCCAGCUCUGGAUGUGGUUAAAAUCAACAUUGAUGCAGCUUUUAGGGGCCUGUCACAACCUGGUGGCUGGGGGUGCAUUGCUCGGGACCAUGCUGGAGACGUCCUCUUCGCGGCCGCCGGCGUGUUGGAAAACGUGUCCGAUGCUCUUCAUGCUGAAGCUUCUGCCCUGCUGCAUGCGGUCCGGUUUGCUGAAGACCAUGUCAUGGGUCGUGUUGUUUUUGAGACUGAUUGCUUGGCUCCUGUGCAGGCCAUCAAUUCUGGAACUCUUGAUCGAUCCCCACUGGGUGCCAUCUUUCACGAGCUCAAAUACCUGCUCCAGUUCAGUUUUAUUAAGUGGAAUGUCUACCACUGUCCACGCGCUUGUAAUGCCCCAGCCCAUGAACUGGCUGCUUUAGGCUGUAGUGGUGCCUAUGGGAACCAAUUUGUUUGGCUUUUCAAAUCUCCCUGA